GAGUGCUCCACAAAGCAUUUGGUAAUUAUUAUUUUUAAUUACAGAUUAUUAUUAGCAUAAUUUCUUAACAACUUCUAUUUGUCUAUACAAUAAAAUACUUCUGAAUGUUUUUCCUGAAGUUGGUGGAUAUUUCUUGGUUACAAUCAAAGAUUUCUUUUGAAUUUUGAGGCUUUAUUUUUAUAUACUUUGGUAAAUUUUUAUGCUAGGAAGAGGAAUUUUAAUUGGACCAAAAAUUUUAGCCAUACUCGAUUAAUUUAUAUUAUAUUAGCUAAAAAUAUAAUUAAUCUCCCACCCAAUAGACGGUCCUUCUAAUUUCACAUCAGAUGUGAAAAGUGCGCGUGUGUAGAGCUUAUGUACAUGAGUUAUAUAGAAACAAGAAUCAUUGUCUCAUAGUCUUUUAUUUAAUUUAUAUUUCUUUUAAAUUAAAUUUUUUUAUCUAUUAUAUUUACAAACAUUUCUCUUAAAUUAAAAUUUUUCAUCUAUUAUAUUUCCAACCAUCGAAUUGAUAAAAAUAAGAAAUCUUUCAAACAAGAACUUUCAGAAUCAACGCAUUGAGGAUCUAACCACAUAAAUUGUAAUUGAUAAAACAGGUAUGGCCCAGACCGCCCAAAGU
Molecule: unclassified non-coding RNA, 613 nt
Filed under: Hevea brasiliensis (rubber tree)
Lineage: Eukaryota; Viridiplantae; Streptophyta; Magnoliopsida; Malpighiales; Euphorbiaceae
Source: RNAcentral